GGCAAUUUUACGUGUAACUUUUCCUCUGCCACUUUACAGGGUUCCUGAAAGGGUAGAAGAAAAUACAGUAGGGCAGGGCUCAAGACCUUACAGUGGAAGAGUUAUGCUCUCCAUAAACAAUAUGACCUCCCAGGAGAGAAGAAAGAAUAGCAGGAAGGACAGAGAGGGAGAGAGACUGCCUCUCUUUGUUUUGAAGGUCCAUUUCUGAUAUAAAUGUAGACAGAAAGUAUAUUCCACUAGCUCUGAUGCCAGACCACCUGUGAAUUCCAUCUCUAGCUCUUUCAUAAAUUUGACCCUUUCUUAUCUUU
Long non-coding RNA from Pan troglodytes (chimpanzee), 308 nucleotides. RefSeq lists it as uncharacterized. The transcript is spliced from 2 exons. The record is from RefSeq and is a predicted model, not a curated record. Lineage: Eukaryota; Metazoa; Chordata; Mammalia; Primates; Hominidae.